This 546-nucleotide ribosomal RNA is filed under the name Tosapusia vitiaz. RNAcentral describes it as "partial 16S ribosomal RNA". It matches the Rfam family "Bacterial large subunit ribosomal RNA", at positions 1798 to 2613 of the family's 2925-position model. Lineage: Eukaryota; Metazoa; Mollusca; Gastropoda; Neogastropoda; Costellariidae. The record is from RNAcentral.
GCCUGUUUAUCAAAAACAUGGCUCUUUGUAAAAAAUAGAUAGAGAGUCGGACCUGCCCAGUGAUAAUUAUUUUAACGGCCGCGGUACCCUGACCGUGCAAAGGUAGCAUAAUCAUUUGCCUUGUAAUUUAAGGCUAGUAUGAAGGGUUUGACAAGAAUAUUACUGUCUCCUUUUAGUUUAGUAGAAUUUUACUUACAGGUGAAGAGGCCUGUAUUAGAUUAAUAGACAAGAAGACCCUAUCGAGCUUAAAAAAAAUUAGCAGGAGAAAUUAAUAAUUGACAAAACUAAAUCUGCUAAAAAUUUUGGUUGGGGCGACUGAGGGACAAAUAAAGCUCCCUUAUAAAAGACCUGACAUUCAAGUGAUGAGCCAGAAAAAUUCUGAUUAAAGGAAUUAGUUACCGUAGGGAUAACAGCAUUAUCUUUUUUAAGAGUUCUUAUCGAAAGAAAGGUUUGUGACCUCGAUGUUGGACCAGAAUAUCCUAAAGAUGCAGCAGUCUUUAAGGGUUGGUCUGUUCGACCAUUAAAAUUCUACGUGAUCUGAGUUCA